UGGCGGCGAUAGCGCGGUGGUCCCACCUGACCCCAUGCCGAACUCAGAAGUGAAACGCCGUAGCGCCGAUGGUAGUGUGGGGCUUCCCCAUGCGAGAGUAGGGAACUGCCA
Molecule: ribosomal RNA, 111 nt
Filed under: Leminorella grimontii
Lineage: Bacteria; Pseudomonadati; Pseudomonadota; Gammaproteobacteria; Enterobacterales; Budviciaceae
Source: RNAcentral